Molecule: ribosomal RNA, 484 nt
Filed under: uncultured bacterium
Lineage: Bacteria
Description: partial 16S ribosomal RNA
Rfam family: Bacterial small subunit ribosomal RNA
Source: RNAcentral
AUUGAACGCUGGCGGAAUGCUUUACACAUGCAAGUCGAACGGCAGCACGGGGGCAACCCUGGUGGCGAGUGGCGAACGGGUGAGUAAUACAUCGGAACGUGCCCGGUCGUGGGGGAUAACGUAGCGAAAGUUACGCUAAUACCGCAUACGAUCUGAGGAUGAAAGCGGGGGACCUUCGGGCCUCGCGCAAUCGGAGCGGCCGAUGUCAGAUUAGGUAGUUGGUGGGGUAAAGGCCUACCAAGCCGACGAUCUGUAGCUGGUCUGAGAGGACGACCAGCCACACUGGGACUGAGACACGGCCCAGACUCCUACGGGAGGCAGCAGUGGGGAAUUUUGGACAAUGGGCGCAAGCCUGAUCCAGCCAUUCCGCGUGCAGGACGAAGGCCUUCGGGUUGUAAACUGCUUUUGUAUGGAACGAAAAGGCUCUGGCUAAUACCUGGGGCUCAUGACGGUACCGUAAGAAUAAGCACCGGCUAACUACGUG